This 71-nucleotide transfer RNA is filed under the name Marmota monax (woodchuck). RNAcentral's name for it is "tRNA.Ala". The record is from RNAcentral. Lineage: Eukaryota; Metazoa; Chordata; Mammalia; Rodentia; Sciuridae.
GAGGUUGUGGCUCAGAGGCAGAGCGCUCACUUAGCAUGCGUGAGGCACUGGGUUCUAUCCUCAGCACCACA